GACGAACGCUGGCGGCGUGCUUAACACAUGCAAGUCGAACGGAAAGGCCCUGCUUUUGUGGGGUGCUCGAGUGGCGAACAGGUGAGUAACACGUGAGUAACCUGCCCUUGACUUUGGGAUAACUUCAGGAAACUGGGGCUAAUACCGGAUAGGAGCUCCUGCUGCAUGGUGGGGGUUGGAAAGUUUCGGCGGUUGGGGAUGGACUCGCGGCUUAUCAGCUUGUUGGUGGGGUAGUGGCUUACCAAGGCUUUGACGGGUAGCCGGCCUGAGAGAGUGACCGGCCACAUUGGGACUGAGAUACGGCCCAGACUCCUACGGGAGGCAGCAGUGGGGAAUAUUGCACAAUGGGCGGAAGCCUGAUGCAGCAACGCCGCGUGCGGGAUGACGGCCUUCGGGUUGUAAACCGCUUUCGCCUGUGACGAAGCGUGAGUGACGGUAAUGGGUAAAGAAGCACCGGCUAACUACGUG
This 468-nucleotide ribosomal RNA is filed under the name uncultured bacterium. RNAcentral describes it as "partial 16S ribosomal RNA". It matches the Rfam family "Bacterial small subunit ribosomal RNA", at positions 28 to 507 of the family's 1533-position model. The record is from RNAcentral.